AGCUGCACCUGCCAGCCUACACUACAGCCAUAGCAACUCGGAAUCUGAACCACAUCUGUGACCUAUAUCACAGCUCACGGCAAAACCGGAUCCAACCCACUGAGCAAGGCCAGGGACUGAACCUGCAUCCUCAUGGAUACUAGUAAGAGUUCGUUAUCGCGGAGCCACAACGGGACCUCCUGGUUAUCUAUUUUAAUCUAUGGCAGUGUGUCUAUGCUAGGAGGAUUGAAGUUUUAGAUAGGAUGGCCAGGGCAAGGCUUCUCUGGGGGAGGGGAAGGUUUGAAUAAAGCCAGAAGGAAGUGAAAGGAAGCCCUGUGGCUAGCUGAGGGGUGGGCACGCCAAGACUCCAAGUAGUAAAUGUUAUACACCUAAGUUCCGCUUGAAAAGAGAGAAACGGUCUGGUGUUUCCUGCUAUUGGAGGUCUGGGACAUGAGGACAAACCAGCACAAAUUUCAUGGAAAUAGGAAGGUGCACAGGAGAUGACGGUGUUCUGGAAACUCAGUGGAGAAAAGACUUAAGGAGGAUAAAGUGACCCAGACUGUCAAAUGCUGCCGCCAGUUGAGUGAGCAGAGAACAGAGGACGGAGGAGCAGCACGGGUGAGACCCUGACCGAAGUGGCUUCAGCGAGAAUAGUGGAGAGAGACUGGAGACGGUCAGCAUGCACCAUUAUUUUGAAGGAUUUUGCUUUAAGGGGGAGCAGAGAAAACAGUCCUGUAGCCGGAAGCACAGAGGGGGGACAGCUACAGCAGAAAACAAGGCCUAUACAGAGCAUAAGGACCAUGAGAAAAAUUUACUCCUUCAGAGGAGCGUUGUCUCAGGAUGCGAAAGAGCUGCUGAGGGAGGGAGGCUCCCUGAACACUUACCAAACAGAAGCAAGAUGGCAGACCGACUGCCACCACUGAGUGCCACCCAACAUCCAAGCAAGACCCGAUCCUAAUCUUAGACGAGACUUUCCAGAGAACCAAUGAAGAGGAACCCGUCCAUGUCAUUUUAUGAGGCCGUCUAACCUCGAUGCCAAAACCUGACAAGGACACAAGGAAGGGAAAAUUAUAGGCCAAUCUCACACGUAAAUAUAAAUGCAAAAGUUUUACACACAGCUUUGGUGCAGGAUACCCUCGGUCUCAAUUAUUUGUUGCCCCAUCCUAUGGGAGAACGAUACUUCCACUCUCUGUGGGUAUCAGGCGUGGUUAAAGGACUUGCUUAAGCCGAUAAAAUGUGAGCAAAAGUGACCCACCUCCUUUUCAAGUGGAGGAUUCAGGAACCAUUGUGUGGCUCUGCCCUUAAUGCUUCUGUGCCCUGAACAGAUUGUCCUAGACGAGGUCUGGUCUACCUGUCGGGGUUGCAGAACAAAGAAAAGGUGAAUACUGCAGCCCAAAUUUAACCUGAGCACGAGAUAAACCCUGUUGCUCCAAACCACUGAGGUCCGGGUGUUGCUUCUUCCUGCAGAACUAGAGAAAGUUCUGCUCCUACACCAGCUGCUCAGCCUGGUGGUUGUUGGUCUGGGUGGAGAUGUGACUGGUGGGUAAUGCUUCUUCUGGGUAAUAUAAACAAAAAAGAAGUACGCACAAGUAUGAAUAGCCGUCUAAAAAGGCUGGCAAAUUUUCGUUCACGUACUGAGAGUCUCAGAUGACGCCAGCGAAGACAGGGAAAAGGAAGUGAGGGUGGACAUUGAGAUGAUAAAGUAGAAAAUCAAAUUACUAAUUAGUGGACACUCCAGGGCAUAAUUAUUUCACCCCACAAAUAAUUAGAGGCACUGUCUAGGCUGAGGUAGCUGAGAUGUGGACACCAGCAGGAAAGGAGUUUGAAAAUGGGUCUUGACUGCUUGAUUCAUCUCUUAAAGAAACUCAGCUCCAACUGCCCCAAAGAGUCCACUGGAGCUUGCACUCAGCAGAGUUCAGAUACUCAUCUUUAGCAGUGAAACUCCUGCCACUAACGAAUUUCCUGUGCUGUUACACCGCUAAGCUGUCAUUGUCUAAAUACUGAUUAGUGUCUUUAAAAAAUACGAGUGAUGCCACAAAGGAAAAAACAAAACAAAAACCAAACAGCGCCUUGAUUUAACAGCCUGACACGUUGAUACAGAUACAGAUGCCAAGCGUUUUAUUUUGUUUUAUUGUUAAUUAUGAUAAAACAUACAUAACAUAAAA
Sus scrofa (pig) is the source of this 2144-nucleotide long non-coding RNA. RefSeq lists it as uncharacterized. NCBI's taxonomy places the organism in Eukaryota, Metazoa, Chordata, Mammalia, Artiodactyla, Suidae. The record is from RefSeq and is a predicted model, not a curated record.